Long non-coding RNA from Gouania willdenowi (blunt-snouted clingfish), 1738 nucleotides. The record is from Ensembl. Lineage: Eukaryota; Metazoa; Chordata; Actinopteri; Blenniiformes; Gobiesocidae.
GAUCGGUAAUACUACACAUACUACAUAAGGGUCAAUGGUGGCUCUGCAGCAGCGCGUUUAUAUCUUUGUUUACAUGGGUUAGUCCGACAUUAAAACCAACCGGAGACAAUCAUUACCGGGAUUUUAAAGACAUUAAACAAUGGAGCGACUUUAAUCACCGGAUCUUCAUCCAGCACCGGCUCUUCUCUGCUGAUGUUCACCGACGGAGGGUCACAUACACUCACACACACCGAGUUUUUACAGUGAUGGCUUGCGCUGAGACCGUUUCCAGCGUUGCGGAAUCCGGAGUCGGAGGAAUUGCCGCCUUUUCUCAAGCGAUCACCUGCGGAAUGGCGAUGCCACGCCCCCUCCUGGCCUGGUCGGGUCUGCUCACCGCUAACAUGGUGCUGACCGCGGGAAGCGUGCACGCUCUGCCCAGGCGAGCGCACCCUCUGCAGGCUAACUACGUCACACACAACACCCGGGAUUUGCCCGCAGCAGCAGCGUCGCCGCCUCCUUCGACGUCCUGCAGCCGCACGACCACUGUCACGCUCUGUGACUCCUCCUCCUCGGUGCAGCAGCAGCCAGACACAGCCUCUGUCCACCCCCCGGAGCCUCACCCAGCCUGGACUUCAGACCAGCCCGUUAACAGUGACACAUUGUGGGAGACGGACCAGGAGCUGGAGAUCAGGACAGUAGCUCAUCAGCUGAGGACCAUCGGGGAUGAGUUCAACGCCUCGGUGCAGCUCAGAAUGCGUGUCCACCAGGGGCAGCACUGGGAGGUUUUCUGCAGAGGACUCCUGGACUUCAUCACGCAGACGCUGAGCGUUCUCUAUCACCUCACGUAGAGCGCAUGUAACUCAGGCAAUCCAACUGUUGUUUACUGUCGCUGUCGGCAAUGGCAGCCAUGACUCAGCGAAAUCUGGAACUUUGUUGUUGUGGAAAGAGUGUCUGUGUUUCUCUCUGUUCGUACGAGGAGGAGGAUUAUCUAUUAGAGCUGCACACAGGUGGUUUUGAGAAAAGGCAGUUUUUUAGGACAUUUUUGGAGUUCUUAAAGAAGAAAAAAAGCAAAUUAUGAAAGUGAAAAGAACAAAAAAUCAUUGCAACAACUUAAUGUAGAAUUUAAAUGAUAUUUUACUUUAAAAAAGGAGGAUUCCAUAAUUAAACACCACAAAGUGACUGAAAUAUGUUGAUUUUAAUAAGUUAAAAUGAAAAUUCAAUAAUGUAUUUGAAAAAUGGUCAAACUACUCUAAACAUGGAGAUCAUAAUAAUAAUUUUUCAUAAUUCAACACACGUUGCAAUGUUCAGGACAACCUAGAACGUAGAAUUGAAUUGAUAUUGUUUAACUUUAAAGUGACAUAAACGCCCGCUCAUUAAUAUGUUGAUUUUAAAAGGUUAAAAUUAAAUAAUAAUUUAUUUGAAAACGGCAUAUCACCAUUUCAAAGUGUAACAUUUUGAUCAAAACUCAAACCUGUUUUUGUGUUGGACUGAUAUUUGCUUAUGUAAAUGAAAAUUUUGUUUGUUUGUCUUUCUACGCUUUCACACUGUGAAUGUCCUGUUUGUGAGAGAACCAUAAACUGCGUCACAUCAUCGCACUGUGUGCCUUCAUCGAUGCUCCCAUAACGGGGAUAAUCGCACACACACACACACACCCACACACUGCAUUACCCCCCCCCCCCACACACACACACACACACACACACACUGUCGGCUGUAAAUACGUUUUGUAAAAUAAAAGCUCUUGCUCUUCUAAAAACCA